This 19-nucleotide transfer RNA is filed under the name Anolis brevirostris deserticola. Its description in RNAcentral is "partial tRNA-Asx". Lineage: Eukaryota; Metazoa; Chordata; Lepidosauria; Squamata; Anolidae. The record is from RNAcentral.
GACAGGCCCGCCUAUUCAU